RNAcentral lists this ribosomal RNA (497 nucleotides) under uncultured bacterium. Its description in RNAcentral is "partial 16S ribosomal RNA". It matches the Rfam family "Bacterial small subunit ribosomal RNA", at positions 28 to 507 of the family's 1533-position model. The record is from RNAcentral.
GAUGAACGCUGGCGGCGUGCCUAAUACAUGCAAGUCGAGCGAACGGACGAGAAGCUUGCUUCUCUGAUGUUAGCGGCGGACGGGUGAGUAACACGUGGAUAACCUACCUAUAAGACUGGGAUAACUUCGGGAAACCGGAGCUAAUACCGGAUAAUAUUUUGAACCGCAUGGUUCAAAAGUGAAAGACGGUCUUGCUGUCACUUAUAGAUGGAUCCGCGCUGCAUUAGCUAGUUGGUAAGGUAACGGCUUACCAAGGCAACGAUGUAUAGCCGACCUGAGAGGGUGAUCGGCCACACUGGAACUGAGACACGGUCCAGACUCCUACGGGAGGCAGCAGUAGGGAAUCUUCCGCAAUGGGCGAAAGCCUGACGGAGCAACGCCGCGUGAGUGAUGAAGGUCUUCGGAUCGUAAAACUCUGUUGUUAGGGAAGAACAUAUGUGUAAGUAACUGUGCACAUCUUGACGGUACCUAAUCAGAAAGCCACGGCUAACUACGUG